UACGAAGGGGGCUAGCGUUGUUCGGAAUCACUGGGCGUAAAGGGCGCGUAGGCGGCUUUUCAAGUCGGGGGUGAAAGCCUGUGGCUCAACCACAGAAUUGCCUUCGAUACUGUUAGGCUUGAGACCGGAAGAGGUGAGUGGAACUGCGAGUGUAGAGGUGAAAUUCGUAGAUAUUCGCAAGAACACCAGUGGCGAAGGCGGCUCACUGGUCCGGUUCUGACGCUGAGGCGCGAAAGCCAGGGGAGCAAACGGG
RNAcentral lists this ribosomal RNA (253 nucleotides) under uncultured bacterium. RNAcentral's name for it is "partial 16S ribosomal RNA". It matches the Rfam family "Bacterial small subunit ribosomal RNA", at positions 524 to 776 of the family's 1533-position model. The record is from RNAcentral.